This 242-nucleotide ribosomal RNA is filed under the name Dipsas bucephala. Its description in RNAcentral is "partial small subunit ribosomal RNA". The record is from RNAcentral. Lineage: Eukaryota; Metazoa; Chordata; Lepidosauria; Squamata; Dipsadidae.
CCCCUAACACGACAGGUCGAGGUGUAACUAAUGAGCGGGUAAAAGAUGGGCUACAUUUUCUAAAACAGAAAACACGAAUAAACUAUGAAACUAAAAACUGAAGGCGGAUUUAGCAGUAUGCUAUGAACAAAAUACUUAACUGAAGCUAAUGCAAUGAAGUGCGUACACACCGCCCGUCAUCCCUGUUAUAAACAACAAAAAUUUAAUAAAUCACCACACCUUCUUAAAGCAGGGCAAGUCGU